Molecule: long non-coding RNA, 653 nt
Filed under: Suricata suricatta (meerkat)
Lineage: Eukaryota; Metazoa; Chordata; Mammalia; Carnivora; Herpestidae
Description: lncRNA (ENSSSUG00005006024.1)
Source: RNAcentral
GGUAGGGCUGAUGCCGUCCUGCUUCUGGGUCAAAUCUGAGGCAUUUCUUCCUGCCCUGAGCGUGUUUGGUUUUGCUGAAGGUGGUAUCGUAAAGGUGACAGCUUUGCUGAGCCUAAUGGGCCUGCCUUCCCUACAUGAAUUCUCAGUAACUUUCAAGAGCUACCGGUGAGAAGAGGGCAGGGUUAUACUGAGAGACAGUGGAGAUGUCCCAGCCUUCAUUUUUUAAUGCGCUAUGGCAAAUGCCACAAAGGUCAUGGGUCUGGCAACAAUGGGGAAGUGAAGAUGAAUACUUCUUGGAGCCCAGCUAACGGCUGCAAGUGCUGGAUGCCAAACUCCUGUGUUUGUCACAUCAGAGCCACGUCGCUUCACCCUUGCAGCGCGGCGGGCUUAAGGAGGCCCUCUGACUGCUACAGAAAGCUGCCCUGGUGGUAUCGCUGGGCUCAACAAGUGCUUCCUCCAGAGGUGACACUGAGACCGAGGGCGUGAGGGCUGUGUACCACCAGAUUCAUUUCCUGGCUCGAUUUCUCAUUAUUGGAGCAAUACUGGGCAAGUCACUUGAUCUGUGGGAACCUCAGCAUUGUCUUUUUCAGAAUAAAUAUAAAAAUAGUAUUUUUCUCAAAGAGCUGUUUAAGAUUAAAUGGACCUAGUGUAAG